UACGAAGGGGGCUAGCGUUGUUCGGAAUCACUGGGCGUAAAGGGCGCGUAGGCGGCUUUGUAAGUCCGCUGUGAAAGUCAAAGGCUCAACCUUUGAAUGCCGGUGGAUACUGCAGGGCUAGAGUCCGGAAGAGGCAAGUGGAAUUCCUGGUGUAGCGGUGGAAUGCGCAGAUAUCAGGAGGAACACCAACGGCGAAGGCAGCUUGCUGGGACGGUACUGACGCUAAGGCGCGAAAGCGUGGGGAGCGAACAGG
Molecule: ribosomal RNA, 253 nt
Filed under: uncultured bacterium
Lineage: Bacteria
Description: partial 16S ribosomal RNA
Rfam family: Bacterial small subunit ribosomal RNA
Source: RNAcentral